This 903-nucleotide long non-coding RNA is filed under the name Homo sapiens (human). RNAcentral describes it as "uncharacterized LOC102724087, transcript variant 8 (LOC102724087)". Lineage: Eukaryota; Metazoa; Chordata; Mammalia; Primates; Hominidae. The record is from RNAcentral.
UGGUUUACUCGUGUCGUCAUUCGUCGUGGGCACCUUGUCCCCGGGGCCGGCCAGUUACUUGGCCUCCUGGCUCAUCAUCCUGCCGGAAGCAUCUCCAGCUUGGGGAUGUUGGAGGGUCCCUGGCCCCACCUGGCUGGGGAUGGAGUGUAAGCCGAGGAGAUGCCAUGUGAGGGUGCAGCGAGGAGUUGGGCUGUCUAAAAGCAAAGAAAGAGAUUGCAUCAGACACCGCAUCUGCUGACACCUUGUUCUUGGACUUCCAGCUUCCAAAACCGCGAGAAAUAAAUGUCUGUGUCUAAACCCCAACCCUACCACCUCAACUGCCGUGUGUGGUGUUUUGUGAUGGCAGCCCCAGCUGACUGAGACACCUGGUUAGACCGGAAUAAGCAGGCUGCAAUCGGUAGCAGUCACCAUUGAACAUCCUUGAAGCAAUUCUUCCAAAAUUACCUUGCAUCAAAGACUGCACAAGAACUGCUCUAAGCGGAAGGACUGAUGUCGGCAACCAGGGUUCCACCAGGGGCUGCAGACAGCCCUUGACCUUCAGAAGUAACCAAAUUUACUCACGUAGGCCAGGAAUUUCUAUGACGUGUUCCAAAUUCAGCCUCUCACUGAACACUUCCAGAGCAAGGCAACAUAAACAUCUGCAAGAAGAACAUUGUGUGAGAAAUAUCAAGUGAGAGUGGAAGAGUCUGCGGAGGGCCUCCCUGGGGCUCACCUGUGCUUUUGCCUGAGCUUCACCGUGUCAAGGAUGCAGCACUUUUUCCCUCUGGAGGAAGCAGCUUUCACCUUGGAAGAAUCUUGACCUUGCCAUUCAAAGUCACCAGACAGGGAAUCUGCCAGUGCCUUGAUCUUAGACUUCCCAGCUUCUGUAACUGUGAGCAAUAAAUGUAUGCUGCUUAUAAACUA